Sebastes umbrosus (honeycomb rockfish) is the source of this 230-nucleotide long non-coding RNA. RefSeq lists it as uncharacterized. The transcript has 2 exons. NCBI's taxonomy places the organism in Eukaryota, Metazoa, Chordata, Actinopteri, Perciformes, Sebastidae. The record is from RefSeq and is a predicted model, not a curated record.
UGGACUUUGGUUUUGUUGUUGUGUUUGCGUGCGCAUAAUUAUGCAGAUACCAUUAGGAGCACCAGAGGACACCGGAGGCACAUGAUCUUUUUCAGAUUACCUGUCUGACGCACUGCUGUCAGGAUAUAAUGAUUUGUAAACUGCGAUAAACAAGUCGGGACUAAAGAUGGAAACACCACAAAUCUAGAGAUGGAAAGAGAGAAACAGAUAAAUAAAAGACAAGAGAGCUU